RNAcentral lists this ribosomal RNA (253 nucleotides) under uncultured bacterium. RNAcentral's name for it is "partial 16S ribosomal RNA". It matches the Rfam family "Bacterial small subunit ribosomal RNA", at positions 524 to 776 of the family's 1533-position model. The record is from RNAcentral.
UACGUAGGGUGCGAGCGUUAAUCGGAAUUACUGGGCGUAAAGCGUGCGCAGGCGGUUUUACAAGCCAGAUGUGAAAUCCCCGGGCUUAACCUGGGAACUGCAUUUGGGACUGUAAGGCUAGAGUGUGUCAGAGGGAGGUGGAAUUCCACGUGUAGCAGUGAAAUGCGUAGAUAUGUGGAGGAACACCAGUGGCGAAGGCGGCUUCCUGGACUAAAACUGACACUGAGGCACGAAAGCGUGGGUAGCAAACAGG